Molecule: ribosomal RNA, 108 nt
Filed under: Aotus nancymaae (Ma's night monkey)
Lineage: Eukaryota; Metazoa; Chordata; Mammalia; Primates; Aotidae
Source: RNAcentral
GUCUGCAGCCAUACCGACAUGAACUUGCCCAUCUUGUCUGAUCUCGGAAGCUAAGCAGGGUUGGGCCAGGUUAGUGCUUGGAUGGGGGAAAGUUAGAGGCGAAAGAGG